Molecule: ribosomal RNA, 250 nt
Filed under: uncultured bacterium
Lineage: Bacteria
Description: partial 16S ribosomal RNA
Rfam family: Bacterial small subunit ribosomal RNA
Source: RNAcentral
UACGUAGGGUGCAAGCGUUAAUCGGAAUUACUGGGCGUAAAGCGUGCGCAGGCGGUUAUGUAAGACAGAGGUGAAAUCCCCGGGCUCAACCUGGGAACGGCCUUUGUGACUGCAUAGCUAGAGUACGGUAGAGGGGGAUGGAAUUCCGCGUGUAGCAGUGAAAUGCGUAGAUAUGCGGAGGAACACCGAUGGCGAAGGCAAUCCCCUGGACCUGUACUGACGCUCAUGCACGAAAGCGUGGGGAGCAAAC